Molecule: ribosomal RNA, 2908 nt
Filed under: Serratia marcescens
Lineage: Bacteria; Pseudomonadati; Pseudomonadota; Gammaproteobacteria; Enterobacterales; Yersiniaceae
Also listed under: 1 other name
Description: 23S ribosomal RNA
Rfam family: Bacterial large subunit ribosomal RNA
Source: RNAcentral
GGUUAAGUGACUAAGCGUACACGGUGGAUGCCUAGGCAGUCAGAGGCGAUGAAGGGCGUGCUAAUCUGCGAAAAGCGUCGGUAAGGUGAUAUGAACCGUUACAACCGGCGAUACCCGAAUGGGGAAACCCAGUGUGUUUCGACACACUAUCAUGUCAUGAAUACAUAGUGGCAUGAGGCGAACCGGGGGAACUGAAACAUCUAAGUACCCCGAGGAAAAGAAAUCAACCGAGAUUCCCCCAGUAGCGGCGAGCGAACGGGGAGGAGCCCAGAACCUGAAUCGGCUUGUGUGUUAGUGGAAGCGUCUGGAAAGUCGCGCAGCAAAGGGUGAUAGCCCCGUACACUAAAAUGCACAGGUCGUGAGUUCGAUGAGUAGGGCGGGACACGUGACAUCCUGUCUGAAUAUGGGGGGACCAUCCUCCAAGGCUAAAUACUCCUGACUGACCGAUAGUGAACCAGUACCGUGAGGGAAAGGCGAAAAGAACCCCGGCGAGGGGAGUGAAAUAGAACCUGAAACCGUGUACGUACAAGCAGUGGGAGCACCUUCGUGGUGUGACUGCGUACCUUUUGUAUAAUGGGUCAGCGACUUAUAUUUUGUAGCAAGGUUAACCGUAUAGGGGAGCCGUAGGGAAACCGAGUCUUAACUGGGCGAAUAGUUGCAAGGUAUAGACCCGAAACCCGGUGAUCUAGCCAUGGGCAGGUUGAAGGUUGGGUAACACUAACUGGAGGACCGAACCGACUAAUGUUGAAAAAUUAGCGGAUGACUUGUGGCUGGGGGUGAAAGGCCAAUCAAACCGGGAGAUAGCUGGUUCUCCCCGAAAGCUAUUUAGGUAGCGCCUCGUGAACUCAUCUUCGGGGGUAGAGCACUGUUUCGGCUAGGGGGCCAUCCCGGCUUACCAAACCGAUGCAAACUCCGAAUACCGAAGAAUGUUAUCACGGGAGACACACGGCGGGUGCUAACGUCCGUCGUGAAGAGGGAAACAACCCAGACCGCCAGCUAAGGUCCCAAAGUCAUGGUUAAGUGGGAAACGAUGUGGGAAGGCAUAGACAGCCAGGAUGUUGGCUUAGAAGCAGCCAUCAUUUAAAGAAAGCGUAAUAGCUCACUGGUCGAGUCGGCCUGCGCGGAAGAUGUAACGGGGCUAAACCAUGCACCGAAGCUGCGGCAGCGACGCUUAGGCGUUGUUGGGUAGGGGAGCGUUCUGUAAGCCGUUGAAGGUGGCCUGUGAGGGUUGCUGGAGGUAUCAGAAGUGCGAAUGCUGACAUAAGUAACGAUAAAGCGGGUGAAAAGCCCGCUCGCCGGAAGACCAAGGGUUCCUGUCCAACGUUAAUCGGGGCAGGGUGAGUCGACCCCUAAGGCGAGGCUGAAAAGCGUAGUCGAUGGGAAACAGGUUAAUAUUCCUGUACUUGGUGUUACUGCGAAGGGGGGACGGAGAAGGCUAGGCUAGCCGGGCGACGGUUGUCCCGGUUUAAGCGUGUAGGGGGUGUGACCUGGUAAAUCCGGUUGCAUAUCAACCCUGAGGCGUGAUGACGAUGCACUACGGUGCAGAAGUAGUUGAUGCCCUGCUUCCAGGAAAAGCCUCUAAGCUCUAGGUAACAUUAAAUCGUACCCCAAACCGACACAGGUGGUCAGGUAGAGAAUACCAAGGCGCUUGAGAGAACUCGGGUGAAGGAACUAGGCAAAAUGGUGCCGUAACUUCGGGAGAAGGCACGCUGGCAUGUAGGUGAAGUCCUUCGCGGAUGGAGCUGAAGCCAGUCGAAGAUACCAGCUGGCUGCAACUGUUUAAUAAAAACACAGCACUGUGCAAACACGAAAGUGGACGUAUACGGUGUGACGCCUGCCCGGUGCUGGAAGGUUAAUUGAUGGGGUCAGCCGCAAGGCGAAGCUCUUGAUCGAAGCCCCAGUAAACGGCGGCCGUAACUAUAACGGUCCUAAGGUAGCGAAAUUCCUUGUCGGGUAAGUUCCGACCUGCACGAAUGGCGUAAUGAUGGCCAGGCUGUCUCCACCCGAGACUCAGUGAAAUUGAACUCGCUGUGAAGAUGCAGUGUACCCGCGGCAAGACGGAAAGACCCCGUGAACCUUUACUAUAGCUUGACACUGAACAUUGAGCCUUGAUGUGUAGGAUAGGUGGGAGGCUUUGAAGCGUGGACGCCAGUCUGCGUGGAGCCAUCCUUGAAAUACCACCCUUUAAUGUUUGAUGUUCUAACUCGGCCCCAUAAUCUGGGGUGAGGACAGUGUCUGGUGGGUAGUUUGACUGGGGCGGUCUCCUCCCAAAGAGUAACGGAGGAGCACGAAGGUUAGCUAAUCACGGUCGGACAUCGUGAGGUUAGUGCAAAGGCAUAAGCUAGCUUGACUGCGAGAGUGACGGCUCGAGCAGGUACGAAAGUAGGUCUUAGUGAUCCGGUGGUUCUGAAUGGAAGGGCCAUCGCUCAACGGAUAAAAGGUACUCCGGGGAUAACAGGCUGAUACCGCCCAAGAGUUCAUAUCGACGGCGGUGUUUGGCACCUCGAUGUCGGCUCAUCACAUCCUGGGGCUGAAGUAGGUCCCAAGGGUAUGGCUGUUCGCCAUUUAAAGUGGUACGCGAGCUGGGUUUAGAACGUCGUGAGACAGUUCGGUCCCUAUCUGCCGUGGGCGUUGGAAGAUUGAGAGGGGUUGCUCCUAGUACGAGAGGACCGGAGUGAACGCACCACUGGUGUUCGGGUUGUCAUGCCAAUGGCAUUGCCCGGUAGCUAAGUGCGGAAAAGAUAAGCGCUGAAAGCAUCUAAGCGCGAAACUUGCCUCAAGAUGAGUCUUCCCUGGGCCUUUAAGGCCCCUGAAGGAACGUUUAAGACUAAGACGUUGAUAGGCUGGGUGUGUAAGUGCAGCGAUGCAUUGAGCUAACCAGUACUAAUGAUCCGUGAGGCUUAACCUU